GAUGAAGAACGCAGCGAAAUGCGAUAAGUAAUGCGAAUUGCAGAAUUUCCGUGAAUCAUCGAAUCUUUGAACGCACAUUGCGCCCGCUGGUACUCCGGCGGGCACGCCUGUCCGAGCGUCAUUUCAACCCUCAAGCCCUCCUUCGGGAUGGGCCUGGUGUUGGGGCUCGGCCGCCAUCUCCGGCGGCCGUCCCCUAAAUACAGUGGCGGUCACGUCGCGACUCCUUUGCGUAGUAGAAACACCUCGCUCCGGAUAGCAACGCGGUCCACGCCGUAAAAUCCCCAAUUUUCAAUGGUUGACCUCGGAUCAGGUGGGAAUACCCGCUGAACUUAAGCAUAUCAAUAAGCGGAGGA
Molecule: unclassified non-coding RNA, 353 nt
Filed under: soil metagenome
Description: partial contains 5.8S ribosomal RNA, internal transcribed spacer 2, and large subunit ribosomal RNA
Rfam family: 5.8S ribosomal RNA (bases 1-121)
Source: RNAcentral